UAAAAUAAACAUAGAAUGCAUGACCAAAAAAAAAAAACAUAGAAUGAAGGGAUAAUGUCCCUGUCAAAAAUAGGAAGAUCAAUUAUCAUAGACUCAAAUGAAGUCUUUGCAUGUCAAUGUUCUUCCCAUUUUCAACUAAAACUAUACUUGUAGAAACAAAAAAGUUCAGAUUUAAUUCUUUGAACGAUCGAGAUUAAGCAAUAAUGACAAUAACAAUAACAAUAACAAAGGAGAAAAUAGAUUGUUCAAAUUUGCAUAAAACCAUUAAAAGAUGGAGCAUAAAACCAUAAUGAAAAAAAACUCAUUUGAAGUUUGAACAAUCUAAAUUUGCAUUCAUGUAACAACAAUUCAUCAUAAUUUUCAUAUAUAUUACUCACCUGGAAUUCUUUCUCCCCUGUUUUCUGUAUCCUCUUCUAGCUCUGUUUUUUUUUAUUUUUAUUUUUAAAUAUUUGAGUUCUUGCUCUUUUGAAAAACGGUUUGGAUAUGGCACUCAACUUAAGUACCGUUUUUAUAUAUCUCUCUAGUUGUUUGUUUUUUUAACAAAAAACAAUGCGAUAUCUCUGUUUACUUAAUUUUAGGAAAUUUGUUUUAGUAUUUGCUCAAUUAAAGGAAUUUUUAGUUAAUGACAUUCAAUUAAUACUUCUCCAGAUUUUCAUGUCCAUAUUUAAUGUAUUGUUGACG
RNAcentral lists this long non-coding RNA (681 nucleotides) under Trifolium pratense (red clover). RNAcentral's name for it is "long non-coding RNA (TPRA_LNC009675)". The record is from RNAcentral. Lineage: Eukaryota; Viridiplantae; Streptophyta; Magnoliopsida; Fabales; Fabaceae.